CUUUGGGAUACGACUAACCAGUCAUCAUCCCCAUCUCAAUCGCGUGUUGCCUCUGCUCUCCACCCACUCCGCCGUACACUAGCUAGCAAUCGCGUGUUGCCUCUCCCUCUUCACCCACUCCGUUGUACCCUUCGUCAUCUUCUUUUUCAUUGAUUUCUCUUCUGAAAUCAACCCUAGCUAGCUUUCCUCUUCUCCAAAUCCAUCCAAACCCUAGAUGUGUUUCCGUGUUUAAGUUGCUCUUUCCAUCCACUUCUCACCAAUCCAUCAACUUCGUCUUUUCGAUUGAUCUGAUGUCGCCUUUGUUUUCGUCGUCGGUUGCUGUUCAUCCGUCAUUCCCUCUUCUCAGUUGCCGAACUUUUUGGGAAAAAUGCAUCUUCGAAGGUUGAUUUUGUGAUCAAAUGAUUCCAUUCAAAGCUUAUGCCCUGGAAGAGAAGCAUGAAAGAUCAGAGCAAGGUUGAUCAGAAAGGGAGCUCCAUAGUUGCAAAUUGGUGUAUUUGGCUGUGUAGGAAAUGAUCAUUGCUUCUGUAUCUAGGUGAUUUUGUGUAGAAAAACCCUUUGUAUCUUGCUGUUAUCAUAGGAGAUGCUAAGUUAUUGUGGCAUAACAAGCCUUGGUCAAUGAAUAUGUUCCUAGACGUUGUGGUCAUGAAAUGCACAGGUUAUUUUAUUGGCUUUGGUUACCCUUGGUGUUGGCUUAUGUUAUUGAAUUCUUGGGUCCUAGCUUAUGCUGUCAAGAAAGCUUUUUGGCCAAAUCAGAAUGGAAAUGACAGAUUUUUUGUAAAGCCAAUUUGUUUGUGAUCAUGUGUUUUUGGGAUUCUAUUCUAUCUAAUAGCCCACUAGAGAAGAUAUGUUAUAGGCUCAGCAGGAAUGAGAAAAAUCUAAGGCUAAACAAGGAGGAAAUUAAAGUGGAACCACUGCUAAUCUAUGUGUUUAUAUAAGUCUAAGGUGAGUUUAUUUUGUAAGAUUGUUUUUUAAUCUCAUUUUUCAGCUGUUCAAAAGAUAGGACCUUUCCUAAAGGUGAGGUUGUUCUGCUGCUUCAUUUGUUUUAUGAUGUUUUUCAUGUGACUGGUUUCACUUUAAAUCAAAGAAAGGAUACACUUGAAGCUGAAUUUAUUUUCCCCUGCAAAAUUCUCAUCGUUUUCUUCUUGAUUAAACUCUAAAAUCCCAUUUCACUUAGAGAAAUUUUGAUUUUUCAUUCUUGAUUUUUCAAACAAUGCAAGAACAGUAUUAUUGACUCUGUUGUGAUGGGAAGUUAACUUUUAUACUUCAGAAGUACAAGGAGGGGAAGAUGGCACAAGUUGUCCCGGCAUCUCCACUCUGUUUUCCUAUUGGUAUGUUUGUCUAUUUCUUAGUCAUACUAACAAGAGUUAGUUGGUGUUAGUGUGUAAGACAAACUGCUUUUUAUGUUUUGUAGUUGAAAGUGUUGUUAUUUCCCUGUUGCAUUAUUUUUUCCAAAUGUGUGUAAGAUGAGUAAUUGACUGAUUAGGAGAAGUUACACCUCAUGUCAUGUACCAUUUUAUUCCAUGUCUAUAUAAGAUCAUUACUUUAGAGAACGUGAAUACACUUGCUAAACAUUUUGUUUGCCCACUAUGGUUACUAAUAUUUUGAGGUUUAACUUUUAUUGGUUGAAAAUAUUAAAAAAAGGGAGGGAAGAAGGGUAGGUAGGAAAAAAUUAUGUAAAGACUGAUUUUAGGUUAGUCAUUCCUAAGGGUUGACUUCUCUCACUUGAAGAAAGUGUUAUUUGCUGGUCUUUGCUGCUUUUCACAUUGAAAUUAGAAUGAGUAAAGUUUUAAUUGGUGUUUACCAAUUUAUUAAUUUUCAUCCACUUGAUUUUAAAUUAUAUUUAGUUCUUUUACUUCACCUUCUAUGUACUUGAUCAUUUUAUUUUUCUUAAUGGGCAAUUAUGAUUUAUGAUUUAUUUGUUUACUUCAAGUUCUGAAUUGUUCAAAUUGAAUAUAUUUGGAUCUUAGCUUUUAUUCCUUAUAGCUGUAUAUGACUCUAAAAUCUAUUUCUAAUGGAUAUCUCAACUUAACAACUCCACUAUUUGGAGAAGCGGUGACUUCUCCUUGGUUGCUGCUCGGUACACAGGGCAUCUCCUUAACAACCUAUAGUAUUAAUCAAACUCCCCAAAAGUCAAUCUCAUCUAGCUAACUGCUUUCCUUUAUGCUUGACUGUGUUUUUUUGGGUUCCAAAGUUACCAGGUUAUACAGGUUGAGCUAACAGAUGACAGGAGAUACCUCAAAAAGGUUGGAAGAGGAAAUAUGCUAAAGUUUGCAAAGUAGAGCUUUUGGUGGUGACUAAACGUCGAGGUGUCGAUCAUGAAUUCAGGAACCGGAAGAAUUGAUUUUUAGAAUUAUACAUCUGUUCAAUAUAUUCAUAAGGAUGGAGGGAUUAUUGUUCACAAGAUUUGGUAAAUGUAACAGGGAUGUGGGAAGUGUCCUUAUAUUCAUGAUCCCUAAAAUAUUUCGGUCAUUCUUGAGUCGACACCGAAUACUUCUUAUUUUUUUGCAAGCUUAUGCUCAAGCGAAAUUUGCCCAUAUAGACAUGUCUAUUUGAAGCAAUGUGAAUCUGUGUUCAGCGAACCAAAUUAAUGAAAGAUUCACCACCCCAUAACCCAAGUAAGGGAAAGACAAGAAAGAGAUAUUGAGAUCAGAUGUUUCUAAACCUGGGAUGAUGAUGGCUUCUUCAAGUCAACAGAAUCUUGACCUUGAGAAAUAACUUCUAUACUAUAUCAGUCUCGGUGUGAAUGAAUAAGUUGCAGACAUGGUGAUUCAUUAAUUUGAGCAAUUAACAUUUUGUGACAAUGGUUCUUUAGAUUUAUACUUGGAUACUCUUGAUGAACUUAAAACCAGCUCUUAAGGUUGGAUGCAUUUGACUACAACACUUAAGGGCACUCUUGGCUACCUUGUACCAGAUCAUGCUAUAUAUGAUCCUUAUAUGUGUAUGAUUUUUCAAGCUAUGUAUCUAAGCUCUAUAUCCUCUAAAUAUUUUUUAAGCAUAGAUUGUUCAAUACAUUUGUUAGACACCUUGAGUAUGUUUGGAUUCAAAUCCAAAAGUUUCCUGCAAGCUUCUUGAAAUAGAUUUGAUUUUCGUAUACUUUUC
This is a long non-coding RNA of Lotus japonicus, 3099 nucleotides long. RefSeq lists it as uncharacterized. The transcript has 4 exons. The record is from RefSeq and is a predicted model, not a curated record. Lineage: Eukaryota; Viridiplantae; Streptophyta; Magnoliopsida; Fabales; Fabaceae.